RNAcentral lists this ribosomal RNA (465 nucleotides) under uncultured bacterium. RNAcentral describes it as "partial 16S ribosomal RNA". It matches the Rfam family "Bacterial small subunit ribosomal RNA", at positions 28 to 507 of the family's 1533-position model. The record is from RNAcentral.
GACGAACGCUGGCGGCGUGCUUAACACAUGCAAGUCGAACGGAAAGGCCCUGCUUGCAGGGUACUCGAGUGGCGAACGGGUGAGUAACACGUGGGUGAUCUGCCCUGCACUUCGGGAUAAGCCUGGGAAACUGGGUCUAAUACCGGAUAGGAGCCAUUUUUAGUGUGAUGGUUGGAAAGUUUUUUCGGUGUAGGAUGAGCUCGCGGCCUAUCAGCUUGUUGGUGGGGUAAUGUCCUACCAAGGCGGCGACGGGUAGCCGGCCUGAGAGGGUGGACGGCCACAGUGGGACUGAGAUGCGGCCGAGACUCCUACGGGAGGGAGCAGGGGGGAAUAUUGCACAAGGGGCGCAAGCCUGAUGCAGCGACGCCGCGUGGGGGAUGACGGCCUUCGGGUUGUAAACUCCUUUCGCUAGGGACGAAGCUUUUUGUGACGGUACCUAGAUAAGAAGCACCGGCUAACUACGUG